UGGGGAAUAUUGCACAAUGGGGGAAACCCUGAUGCAGCGACGCCGCGUGAACGAAGAAGGUAUUCGUAUCGUAAAGUUCUGUCCUAUGGGAAGAUAAUGACAGUACCAUAGAAGAAAGCUCCGGCUAAAUACGUGCCAGCAGCCGCGGUAAUACGUAUGGAGCGAGCGUUGUCCGGAAUUAUUGGGCGUAAAGGGUACGCAGGCGGUUUAAUAAGUCGAAUGUUAAAGAUCGGGGCUCAACCCCGUAAAGCAUUGGAAACUGAUAAACUUGAGUAGUGGAGAGGAAAGUGGAAUUCCUAGUGUAGUAGUGAAAUACGUAGAUAUUAGGAGGAAUACCAGUAGCGAAGGCGACUUUCUGGACACAAACUGACGCUGAGGUACGAAAGCGUGGGGAGCAAACAGG
This 403-nucleotide ribosomal RNA is filed under the name Actinomycetes bacterium. RNAcentral's name for it is "Actinobacteria bacterium partial 16S ribosomal RNA". It matches the Rfam family "Bacterial small subunit ribosomal RNA", at positions 355 to 776 of the family's 1533-position model. The record is from RNAcentral. Lineage: Bacteria; Bacillati; Actinomycetota; Actinomycetes.